AACGAACGCUGGCGGCAUGCCUAACACAUGCAAGUCGAACGAGACCUUCGGGUCUAGUGGCGCACGGGUGCGUAACGCGUGGGAACCUGCCCUUAGGUUCGGAAUAACUCCCCGAAAGGGGUGCUAAUACCGGAUAAUGUCUUCGGACCAAAGAUUUAUCGCCUUUGGAUGGGCCCGCGUUGGAUUAGCUAGUUGGUAGGGUAAAAGCCUACCAAGGCGACGAUCCAUAGCUGGUCUGAGAGGAUGAUCAGCCACACUGGUACUGAGACACGGCCCAGACUCCUACGGGAGGCAGCAGUGGGGAAUAUUGGAAAAUGGGCGAAAGCAUGAUCCAGCAAUGACGCGUGAGUGAUGAAGGCCUUAGGGUUGUAAAGCUCUUUUACCCGGGAUGAUAAUGACAGUACCGGGAGAAUAAGCUCCGGCUAACUCCGUG
RNAcentral lists this ribosomal RNA (433 nucleotides) under uncultured bacterium. RNAcentral's name for it is "partial 16S ribosomal RNA". It matches the Rfam family "Bacterial small subunit ribosomal RNA", at positions 29 to 507 of the family's 1533-position model. The record is from RNAcentral.